This 208-nucleotide ribosomal RNA is filed under the name uncultured Bacillus sp. Its description in RNAcentral is "partial 16S ribosomal RNA". It matches the Rfam family "Bacterial small subunit ribosomal RNA", at positions 1175 to 1382 of the family's 1533-position model. The record is from RNAcentral. Lineage: Bacteria; Bacillati; Bacillota; Bacilli; Caryophanales; Bacillaceae.
UGGGAUGACGUCAAAUCAUCAUGCCCCUUAUGUUCUGGGCUACACACGUGCUACAAUGGCCGGUACAGACGGACGCAAAGCCGCGAGGUGGAGCAAAUCCUAAAAAGCCGGUCUCAGUUCGGAUUGCAGGCUGCAAUUCGCCUGCAUGAAGUCGGAAUCGCUAGUAAUCGCGGAUCAGCAUGCCGCGGUGAGUACGUUCCCGGGCCUU